Molecule: long non-coding RNA, 962 nt
Organism: Magnolia sinica
Lineage: Eukaryota; Viridiplantae; Streptophyta; Magnoliopsida; Magnoliales; Magnoliaceae
Exons: 3
Source: RefSeq, a predicted model, not a curated record
CUCAGGGCGGGCUGGGUUAAAAUGAACUAAGCCGCAGCCAAGCCCGAACUUGACUGGCCAAUCAUCCAGGCCCAAGACCGGUCCAUGGGCCAAGCUGAAAGUCCAAGCCCGUCCACCCGUCCUCUCAGAGUGCGAUUCAGACCCUAGGGCAUCAACCCCUCUUCUGGCUUUUCUUUCUUCCUUCUCGUCUUGCUGAAGUUCAAAUCUCUCUCUCUCUCCCUGCCACUGCAGCGGUGAUAUAUCUUUCCCUACACUGCGGUACUUGGGAAAUCCCUACAUCUUCACGCAGCCCACGACAAUACAGAACCCAUUAUUAGUUCAUCUUGGUAAGAACAUUGGAAUACAAUCUACGGACAUAAUUGAACGAUCUUUGAAUAUGAGGCCCACUUUCAUGAUUACAUCGUACUUGGGUACUUUGGGAAAGUGGAGCUUGAUAACACUUGGAAGUUCUGCCAGCUCAGCCUGGGACUUUCCCAACAUCAUUCUCUUGAAUUUAUCAUUGCAAUUGACUUCAUUUCUGUUGUUCGGAUCCAGGAGAUUGUGGGCCUUGAUGUAGGACCAGACUUUGAUAAAGCAUCCAAGACAGGAAAUCUGAGACUGGCGAGGUUGAUCAGGUUUGCUACCUUUUUUGAGGUUUCAGAGGUGGGCCUAACUACCAGUUGUAUCAGAAGCUAGAGGGGUCUCAUGUAAUUGUGAAGAAGAUGGAUGGAGGGUCCCAAACUCAGUGUCUAUUGGAUGAGAUGCCUUGUUCAUACUCCCAAUGUCCAGAAGUAACCACAGGCACAAAUGCUAUUGUGGAACAUCAGAAUGAUGCAUCUUCAAAGAGUGAGGAUGAUGAAUUGAUAGAAUCAUGUAAUUCUGAAAUGGACCGUGAAAUCGAAAGUGUUGCAAAAUGUACAGAGGAGAGUGAUAAAAUGGAAGAUCUAGUGACGGGACAUGACACGCCUUUGGAAAAUCCUUGU